Molecule: long non-coding RNA, 409 nt
Filed under: Ananas comosus (pineapple)
Lineage: Eukaryota; Viridiplantae; Streptophyta; Magnoliopsida; Poales; Bromeliaceae
Description: long non-coding RNA (ACOM_LNC004698)
Source: RNAcentral
UGUUGAGUAUAAUUAUAUAUACUUGAUUCGAGUAUAGGGAGGGAAAAUGUAUUGUUAUUAUAAAUAAUGUGUUUAUGUAUUCUCUCCAACUGUUAUAGAUAGAAUUUUUUGCUUCGUUUAUUAUAUUUAAAAAUAAACUUAGUUAAAAAUGUGAAUUAACUAUGAUUCGAAUUUGAAAGCUCGGGUACAAACCAUCAAGUUCUUUGCCAUUUGUGUUGAGGACAGUGAGUGUUAUAGUUAGAAUUAUUGAUAAUUUAGAUGUAGUUUCAACUGCAGCAAUGAUCCUCAUCAUGCAAUUCUAACAACAGUAAAUAUAUUUAAAUGUAUUAAAUUAAAUACUGAAUUUAAAUUUGCAUGUCAAUACACCAUUAUUACAGUUGUAACAAUAUACAACCAAAUAAGUGGAUUC